AGAAUCAACGCUGGCGGCGUGCCUAACACAUGCAAGUCGAACGAGAAAGUGGAGCAAUCCAUGAGUAAAGUGGCGACCGGGUGAGUAACACGUGACCAAUCUACCCUUGAGUGGGGGAUAACCUCGGGAAACCGGGGCUAAUACCGCAUAACAUCCUCGGGACGGAAGUACUGGGGAUCAAAGGAGCAAUUCGCUUAAGGAGGAGGUCGCGGCUGAUUAGCUAGUUGGCGGGGUAAUGGCCCACCAAGGCAAAGAUCGGUAGCCGGCCUGAGAGGGCGCACGGCCACACUGGAACUGAAACACGGUCCAGACUCCUACGGGAGGCAGCAGUGGGGAAUUUUGCGCAAUGGGGGAAACCCUGACGCAGCAACGCCGCGUGGAGGAUGAAGUCCCUUGGGACGUAAACUCCUUUCGACCCGGACGAUAAUGACGGUACGGGUGGAAGGAAGCCCCGGCUAACUUCGUGCCAGCAGCCGC
RNAcentral lists this ribosomal RNA (477 nucleotides) under uncultured bacterium. Its description in RNAcentral is "SSU rRNA". It matches the Rfam family "Bacterial small subunit ribosomal RNA", at positions 26 to 518 of the family's 1533-position model. The record is from RNAcentral.